CAUGGAGGGUGAGAAUCCCGUCCGGCCGACAUCAUGAUGUUCUACGAUACGCUUUCAAAGAGUCGAGUUGUUUGGGAUUGCAGCUCAAAAUGGGAGGUAAAUUUCUCCUAAGGCUAAAUAUUGGCGAGAGACCGAUAGCGAACAAGUACCGUGAGGGAAAGAUGAAAAGAACUUUGAAAAGAGAGUUAAAAAGUACGUGAAAUUGUUGAAAGGGAAACGAUUGAAGUCAGUCGUACCGACGAGAAAUCAGCUUUUCGAAUGUGCAUUUGUGGGCGUAUGAGAUCUUCAUUGUUUGCAAUAUGUAUAUUUCUUUGGUGUACUUUUUCGUAUGGUAGGUCAAUGUCGGUUUUGAUCGCCAUAAAAUGAUCGGAGGAAUGUAGCUUCGACCUCGGUUGAAGUGUUAUAGCCUUUGGUAAAUGUGGUGAUUAGGACCGAGGAUUGCAACGAAUACCUUUUAGGCUAUCCGUCUGACCUCUGAAAGUUACUUAGGUGCCGAAAGCUUGCUUACGUUCAUUUAAGUUGACGGUCAAUAGGUUAGAACGUGAUUACAUUCGUUAAGGAUGUUGACGUAAUGG
Molecule: ribosomal RNA, 575 nt
Filed under: uncultured Glomeromycotina
Lineage: Eukaryota; Fungi; Glomeromycota
Description: LSU rRNA
Rfam family: Eukaryotic large subunit ribosomal RNA
Source: RNAcentral